RNAcentral lists this ribosomal RNA (490 nucleotides) under uncultured bacterium. Its description in RNAcentral is "partial 16S ribosomal RNA". It matches the Rfam family "Bacterial small subunit ribosomal RNA", at positions 30 to 507 of the family's 1533-position model. The record is from RNAcentral.
AGUGAACGCUGGCGGUAGGCCUAACACAUGCGAGUCGAACGGCAGCACAGGAGAGCUUGCUCUCUAGGUGGCGAGUGGCGGACGGGUGAGGAAUACAUCGGAAUCUGCCCAGUCGUGGGGGAUAACGUAGGGAAACUUACGCUAAUACCGCAUACGACCUUCGGGUGAAAGAGGGGGAUCGCAAGACCUCUCGCGAUUGGAUGAGCCGGUGUCGGAUUAGCUAGUUAGGGGGGUAAUGGCCCACCCAGGCGACGAUCCGUAGCUGGUCGGAGAGGAUGAUGCGCCCACACGGAAACUGGACACCGACCCGGACCCUAAGGGAGGGCGCAGGGGGGAAAUGUUGGCAACGGGGGGAAAGCUUGAUCAAGCCGACCGCGGGGGGUGAAGAAGCCCUUCGGGUUGUAGGGCCCUUUUGUGGGAAAAAAAUCCUUUCGGCUUAAACCCCGGGAGGAUGACGGUACCCAAAGAAUAAGCACCGGCUAACUUCGUG